UAAAAUUUUGCACCAAAUCAUCGUGUUUCCAAAAAGGUGUUUUUUUUUUUUAAAGAUUUUAUUUUUUCCUCUUUCUCCCCAAAGCCCCCUGGUACAUAGUUGUAUAUUCUUCAUCGUGGGUCCUUCUAGUUGUGGCAUGUGGGACGCUGCCUCAGCGUGGUCUGAUGAGCAGUGCCAUGUCUGCGCCCAGGAUUCGAACCAACGAAACACUGGGCUGCCUGCAGCGGAACGUGCGAACUCAACCACUUGGCCAUGGGGCCAGCCCCCAAAAAGGUGUUUUUAAGUUACUUGCAUUCAUUGCCUUUUCAGUUGCUGAUCAUUCUGUCAUAUUCAGUAGUUGUCAGCUAAUCCUCAGUGAAAAUCAAGCUGAUUCAGUGUCAUCGACUGCCACUGAUCUCAGAACAAGUGUAGAUCUCGUGUUACUGUUCAGAUUUUUUGCAAGUCUUGUGGGAAUGUGAGAUAGUUAGGCUGGGAUAUCACAAAGAGUGCCAUGUGGCUGGAAACCCUACAGGUAGGCCUCAGGAGGAAUGUGGAUGAGUGGACCCUUGAGCGUCUGGGUUGUGCCGUCUCUAAUAUGUUGUUCAGUUUUUGCGCAGGGCUAGUGAGAAUUUGCAGAUAGUUUGGAUGGGAUAUCACAAGGAGGGCCAUGUGGCUGGAAAUCCUCAAGACAGGCCCUUGAGCACUGUGGAUGAGUGGAUCCUGUGCUGCGCACAUGAUUGUCUGAGUCUGGCCCUCUCUGAAUUGUUGCACAACACAUUAAAGGGAAGUUUUCUAAUACAAUGGAGUUUGCUCCGGAUAACUUUGCCCUUGCAAGGUGAUCAGGCAGACUGUUUUUCUCUUUUUUUUUUUCCUGGCAUAAUUAUGGCUAUAUUCCAGAAUGGGGGAUACAGUAGCAGUUGGCCAUUCUUUUCUGGCUGCAUGGGAAAGCAGAAUGGAUCUAGCUGGGCUUUGUGGGAGGAAAGGAGUAGUUUCUAGGUCCCCAUUAUUUGCAUAUUCAGUUUUCCUUUUUUACUUAAGCUAAUUUUAGUUGGGUUUCUUGCAUUCGGAGC
Molecule: long non-coding RNA, 1049 nt
Filed under: Equus caballus (horse)
Lineage: Eukaryota; Metazoa; Chordata; Mammalia; Perissodactyla; Equidae
Description: lncRNA (ENSECAG00000045398.1)
Source: RNAcentral